AUACGGAGGGUGCAAGCGUUAAUCGGAAUUACUGGGCGUAAAGCGUACGUAGGCGGCUCGUUAAGUUAGAUGUGAAAGCCCCGGGCUUAACCUGGGAACUGCAUUUAAAACUGACGAACUAGAGUUGAGUAGAGGGGAGUGGAAUUUCAGGUGUAGCGGUGAAAUGCGUAGAGAUCAGAAGGAACACCAGUGGCGAAGGCGACUCCCUGGACUCAAACUGACGCUGAGGUACGAAAGCGUGGGUAGCAAACGGGAUUAGAAACCCUAGUAGUCC
Molecule: ribosomal RNA, 274 nt
Filed under: uncultured bacterium
Lineage: Bacteria
Description: partial 16S ribosomal RNA
Rfam family: Bacterial small subunit ribosomal RNA
Source: RNAcentral